GCCUGCCCUGCAAGACGAGCCUGAGCCGCUUGUUGAAGUUCAAUGGGACAACGACAAUCUUAUUGAUCAACAGUUGGAUAUGUUGCUCUCAGUUGAUGUCGAUACAAAUGAUAUUGUUGCUGAGGGUGAGGAAAGGCCGUGUAUUGCCUGCGGCGAAAAUUCAAGGACUUAUAUGGUCGAGCCAUGUGCUCAUUUUAUAUUCUGUGGUCAAUGUGUGGCAGUCCAUAGAAUGACUGUCAGGGACAUUGACGGUUACCCACAGCCAGUUCGCUGCCCGCUGUGUCGGACUAACGUCACCUCCUACAGGAGGGUUUUUCAAUAGUGCAUAGAACUCCAAAAGUUAUCGUCCUCUUCGGCCACUGUCGGAGCUGUCACCUCGGCCAAAUAGACGUGUGGAGAAGCCACUGGACCAGGGCCGGAUUUAGCAUUUUUGCGCCCCUAGGCCCAAAUAAUUUUCAACCCCCUAGUCUGGUCACAGUUACUAUGACUAUUUAUUUUUAUUUUUAGAUAA
Long non-coding RNA from Macrosteles quadrilineatus (aster leafhopper), 511 nucleotides. RefSeq lists it as uncharacterized. The record is from RefSeq and is a predicted model, not a curated record. The transcript is spliced from 3 exons. Lineage: Eukaryota; Metazoa; Arthropoda; Insecta; Hemiptera; Cicadellidae.